Long non-coding RNA from Polypterus senegalus (gray bichir), 587 nucleotides. RefSeq lists it as uncharacterized. NCBI's taxonomy places the organism in Eukaryota, Metazoa, Chordata, Cladistia, Polypteriformes, Polypteridae. The record is from RefSeq and is a predicted model, not a curated record. The transcript has 5 exons.
GUUCUUGGAAGUCUCUAUCAGGCCCUUCUGAGUAAAUAACACAAAACAAAGUAAAAAGAAAAGACUCUGUAGUACAAAGUACGUGAUGGAGAGUUAAAAUUAUUGGCUGCUUUGGACCAUGAUGGAGAGCAGGUCUGCAGCCGUGAGGUUGUUUUUGAAUCUUCACUUGGAGAUCCGUUUUGCUGUCUGGUGUGGCUCUCAGACUAGUAAAAGAGGACAGUCUACAAAAUAGGCAAUUUCAAAUGAACUCUUGCAAGCACGUCAGGAGACCCCCUUCAUUACUCUGCAUUUCAGCUGCUGUCAAGAUCUCCGUUGUCCUCUGUUGUAGGAUCACAAGAUCGCCACUGUGUCCCACUGCUGCCUUGCAAUAGGACUUCAAGCAAAGCUAAAGGAAAAAUAGUUACCAACAUUUCCAGGUUCCAAAAUGGCCGGCACAACAUCACUUCCGGUCACAUGAGCUGACAUCACUUCAACGCUCCAAAAAGACAUCACUUCCAGUUUCAUCAAACAAUGUUGUUUCCGCUUCCUGUUGUCACGUCACCUCCUGCCAAACAUUUCCUGUUCCCACAAUUCAUCUCUGUAUAUAA